RNAcentral lists this ribosomal RNA (253 nucleotides) under uncultured bacterium. Its description in RNAcentral is "partial 16S ribosomal RNA". It matches the Rfam family "Bacterial small subunit ribosomal RNA", at positions 524 to 776 of the family's 1533-position model. The record is from RNAcentral.
UACGGAGGUGGCAAGCGUUGUUCGGAUUUAUUGGGUGUAAGGGGCAUGUAGGCGGCUUAAUAAGUCGAAUGUGAAAUCCCGCAGCUCAACUGCGGAACUGCAUUCGAAACUGUUUUGCUGGAGUACGAGAGGGGGGAUGGGAAUUCCCGGUGUAAGGGUGAAAUCUGUAGAUAUCGGGAGGAACACCGAUGGCGAAAGCAGAUCCCUGGCUCGAUACUGACGCUGAAAUGCGAAAGCUAGGGGAGCAAACAGG